UACGGGGGGGGCAAGCGUUGUUCGGAAUUACUGGGCGUAAAGGGCUCGUAGGCGGCCAACUAAGUCGGAUGUGAAAUCCCCAAGCUUAACUUGGGAACUGCAUCCGAUACUGGAUGGCUUGAAUCCGGGAGAGGGAUGCAGAAUUCCAGGUGUAGCGGUGAAAUGCGUAGAUAUCUGGAGGAAUACCGGUGGCGAAGGCGGCAUCCUGGACCGGCAUUGACGCUGAGGAGCGAAGGCUAGGGGAGCAAACGGG
RNAcentral lists this ribosomal RNA (253 nucleotides) under uncultured bacterium. Its description in RNAcentral is "partial 16S ribosomal RNA". It matches the Rfam family "Bacterial small subunit ribosomal RNA", at positions 524 to 776 of the family's 1533-position model. The record is from RNAcentral.